RNAcentral lists this long non-coding RNA (996 nucleotides) under Chinchilla lanigera (long-tailed chinchilla). RNAcentral's name for it is "lncRNA (ENSCLAG00000024868.1)". The record is from RNAcentral. Lineage: Eukaryota; Metazoa; Chordata; Mammalia; Rodentia; Chinchillidae.
AUGGAAUGGUGUUUAAGGCAUUAUUUUAUUUGGAGAUAUUCAGGGAUAUGCUUCCACAAGGGACAGCUUGUGAUGGAAGUGAGAGAAGUCUUGUUCCACAGACGUGAUUGUGCCCUUACUCUGGGGAAGCUGCCUGAGAAGACGUGGGGGUCAGAGGGAUCAGGGGGAUGUGGGGAGGGAUGUGGAGGGGCCUGCGGAAGCCACGAGGAUCAUUCAGACUGGGGACCUGAUUAUACAGGUGGCGUGGGUUGGACGUACAGCGGGGGCUGGGAGGAAUGAGGGGCGGUCAGGGAUGAUAUUAAGAGGGGAAAUUGGAGGCAAGGAAUGGCAGGACCCAAACGCCUUGUGAUUUGAAGGGAGCUAUGUUUUGGGAGGUUUAAAAAGGUCAACACAGCUCUCCUGCUCUGCCAAUGUCUUAGCUUGGGCAAUGCUGGUAUCUCUGAGACCCGGGCUGUGUAAAGAUUCAGCACUUGUGAUGUUUUCCUUGGUACCUGCCGUGCAGGACUGGGAUUUGAGGAGUAUGCUGCUCAUGGUCAGUUUCAAUGGGCUGCUUUGCAUCAGGCUGCCUGGAUCUCCUAGCAGCUGCUGCUGCUGCUGAAGAGACGCAUGUGGAUCACCACUUAAAAACCGUGAGUGGCAGGCACUGACCAGAGGAGAGAAGGAAAUCCAGGAGGACUUAGUAAGGAGAAAAUGCUAUUACUCACAAGUUCUCCAGUGCCCACGUGGGAUGGGGAUAUUUGCUCUGAGCUCUUUAGAGGGAGAGGAGCAGGGGAGGGAGGAGUUGGAGACUGUAUCCCCUAUGCAUCCAGAAUGCGCAAGCAUGCACUUGUGUUCAUUUCCUCUGCUGCUUUGGAGUCUGGAGAGGAGGUCGCCGAGAGAAUGUCACAUCAGGUGAUUGUGCUUUUGAGUGUUCUCCAAUUCAAGAAGCCUGCCAUGCUUACAAACAGUUUGCAUAAUACCUUGUUCAUUAAGACCCAUAAAUUAGCACUGUUUUAA